AGUGGCGGACGGGUGAGUAACGCGUGAGAAUCUGCCUUGGGGUCGGGGACAACCACUGGAAACGGUGGCUAAUACCGGAUAAGCCGAUUGGUGAAAGAUUUAUUGCCCGAAGAGGAGCUCGCGUCUGAUUAGCUAGUUGGUGAGGUAAGAGCUCACCAAGGCAGCGAUCAGUAGCUGGUCUGAGAGGACGAUCAGCCACACUGGGACUGAGACACGGCCCAGACUCCUACGGGAGGCAGCAGUGGGGAAUUUUCCGCAAUGGGCGAAAGCCUGACGGAGCAAGACCGCGUGAGGGAGGAAGGCUCUUGGGUUGUAAACCUCUUUUCUCAGGGAAGAAGCUCUGACGGUACCUGAGGAAUCAGCCUCGGCUAACUCCGUGCCAGCAGCCGCGGUAAUACGGAGGAGGCAAGCGGUAUCCGGAAUUAUUGGGCGUAAAGCGUCCGCAGGUGGCAAUUCAAGUCUGCUGACAAAGCACGGGGCUUAACUCCGUUAAGGCAGUGGAAACUGAAUAGCUAGAGUGCCGUAGGGGUAGAGGGAAUUCCCGGUGUAGCGGUGAAAUGUGUAGAGAUCGGGAAGAACAUCGGUGGCGAAAGCGCUCUACUGGACGGCAACUGACACUCAGGGACGAAAGCUAGGGGAGCGAAUGGGAUUAGAUACCCC
Molecule: ribosomal RNA, 660 nt
Filed under: uncultured bacterium
Lineage: Bacteria
Description: bacterial SSU rRNA
Rfam family: Bacterial small subunit ribosomal RNA
Source: RNAcentral